CAGCACACUGGCAGUUUUUGAUACUACACAAAAUAUUUGCAAUAUCCAAUUUUCGAUUUGUUGCAUUACAAAAUUUUAAAAACUGUACAUUUUGAUUAGCUAACUAAAAACCAUCUGUUAAUCCAAAUGAAUUAAGGAAAAAUAGAUCUGUGAUUGAUCAUUGAUCAAUUCAUCCAUAUAACUUGUUUUAGGCCAAACUGGAUCAGUGUAUGACAUUUAAAUUAGUUAUUUAUACACUUCAGCUCUAUGUGCAUAGUCGAAUAUGAUAAUAUGAACUUGGUUGAUGAUGCCAUUCUUUAAAAUAGUAUACGUUUCAUACAAAUAACAUACAUUUUCGAAUGACAUUUAUUAAUUGGUGUGGAAUCAGGAAGCUCCAAAUUAAAUUAAUUUGAACAAAUAACAUGAACUAUUUCUUUUCAUCCCAAAUUCGAAUGCAUACAACUUUAUUACCGACUCUACGGAUUUUUAUGCCGUUUUACUAAUGAUUUUCAUUUAAACUCAUGAGCAUUUUAAAAUAAAAUUAUAAUA
Long non-coding RNA from Drosophila nasuta, 528 nucleotides. RefSeq lists it as uncharacterized. The transcript is spliced from 3 exons. The record is from RefSeq and is a predicted model, not a curated record. Lineage: Eukaryota; Metazoa; Arthropoda; Insecta; Diptera; Drosophilidae.